This 216-nucleotide ribosomal RNA is filed under the name Glomeromycotina sp. RNAcentral describes it as "partial small subunit ribosomal RNA". The stretch from base 75 to 216 matches the Rfam family "Eukaryotic small subunit ribosomal RNA", at positions 721 to 864 of the family's 1831-position model. The record is from RNAcentral. Lineage: Eukaryota; Fungi; Glomeromycota.
GGGUCAGUAGGUUGGUCGUGUCACCGGUACGUACUGGUCUCACUGAUUCCUCCUUCCUGAAGAACCGUAACGCCAUUAAUUUGGUGUUGCGGGGAAACAGGACUGUUACUUUGAAAAAAUUAGAGUGUUUAAAGCAAGCUAACGCUUGAAUACAUUAGCAUGGAAUAAUGAAAUAGGACGAUCGAUCCUAUUUUGUUGGUUUCUAGGAUUGACGUA